AGAGUUUGAUCAUGGCUCAGAUUGAACGCUGGCGGAAUGCUUUACACAUGCAAGUCGAACGGCAGCACGGACUUCGGUCUGGUGGCGAGUGGCGAACGGGUGAGUAAUGUAUCGGAACGUGCCCAGUCGUGGGGGAUAACGUAGUGAAAAUUACGCUAAUACCGCAUACGAUCUAUGGAUGAAAGCGGGGGAUCGCAAGACCUCGCGCGAUUGGAGCGGCCGAUAUCAGAUUAGGUAGUUGGUAGGGUAAAGGCCUACCAAGCCAACGAUCUGUAGCUGGUCUGAGAGGACGACCAGCCACACUGGAACUGAGACACGGUCCAGACUCCUACGGGAGGCAGCAGUGGGGAAUUUUGGACAAUGGGCGGAAGCCUGAUCCAGCCAUUCCGCGUGCAGGAUGAAGGCCCUCGGGUUGUAAACUGCUUUUGUACAGAACGAAAAGGUUUCUACUAAUACUAGGAGCUCAUGACGGUACUGUAAGAAUAAGCACCGGCUAACUACGUGCCAGCAGCCGCGGUAAUACGUAGGGUGCAAGCGUUAAUCGGAAUUACUGGGCGUAAAGCGUGCGCAGGCGGUUAUAUAAGUCAGAUGUGAAAUCCCCGGGCUCAACCUGGGAACUGCAUUUGAGACUGUAUAGCUAGAGUACGGUAGAGGGGGAUGGAAUUCCGCGUGUAGCAGUGAAAUGCGUAGAUAUGCGGAGGAACACCGAUGGCGAAGGCAAUCCCCUGGACCUGUACUGACGCUCAUGCACGAAAGCGUGGGGAGCAAACAGGAUUAGAUACCCGGUAGUCC
RNAcentral lists this ribosomal RNA (792 nucleotides) under uncultured bacterium. Its description in RNAcentral is "bacterial SSU rRNA". It matches the Rfam family "Bacterial small subunit ribosomal RNA", at positions 8 to 796 of the family's 1533-position model. The record is from RNAcentral.